UACGUAGGGUGCGAGCGUUAAUCGGAGUUACUGGGCGUAAAGCGUGCGCAGGCGGUUAUGUAAGACAGAUGUGAAAUCCCCGGGCUCAACCUGGGAACUGCAUUUGUGACUGCAAAGCUGGAGUGCGGCAGAGGGGGAUGGAAUUCCGCGUGUAGCAGUGAAAUGCGUAGAUAUGCGGAGGAACACCGAUGGCGAAGGCAAUCCCCUGGGCCUGCACUGACGCUCAUGCACGAAAGCGUGGGGAGCAAACAGG
Molecule: ribosomal RNA, 253 nt
Filed under: uncultured bacterium
Lineage: Bacteria
Description: partial 16S ribosomal RNA
Rfam family: Bacterial small subunit ribosomal RNA
Source: RNAcentral